AUUACAUAUCGCGGGUUGGACGACUCACGUUAGUUUUCGUACAGUAUUUCCGCAUGUAGCCAAUAGAGUAUUGCGAUAGCGAGAUAGCUAAUUAAUACAAACGUUCUAUAGAAACGAAACCCGAUAACCCCUAGUUAACAUAUAACAAAUUCGCAUAAAGCAGAUAAAUUAUCAGGAUGUGUCUGCAGCAUACAAUUAAUACUCCAGAUACGCAGUCAUAAUAAUCUUCCUGAUCGUAUCAGAAAGCAUUUUUUUUUUAAGUAAUGAACUUCCGCUCUCAUUCACUCUUUUUAAACUUUACUUCCUUCGUGUCUCUCUUCCCGACAAGAGUAUGUAUAU
Non-coding RNA from Cinara cedri, 339 nucleotides. The record is from the annotation of a GenBank genome assembly. Lineage: Eukaryota; Metazoa; Arthropoda; Insecta; Hemiptera; Aphididae.